UACGUAGGGACCAAGCGUUGUUCGGAUUCAUUGGGCGUAAAGGGUGCGUAGGUGGCGCCGUAAGUCGGGUGUGAAAUUUCGGAGCUUAACUCCGAAACUGCAUUCGAUACUGCGGUGCUUGAGGACUGGAGAGGAGACUGGAAUUCAUGGUGUAGCAGUGAAAUGCGUAGAGAUCAUGAGGAAGACCAGUGGCGAAGGCGGGUCUCUGGACAGUUCCUGACACUGAGGCACGAAGGCCAGGGGAGCAAACGGG
This 253-nucleotide ribosomal RNA is filed under the name uncultured bacterium. RNAcentral's name for it is "partial 16S ribosomal RNA". It matches the Rfam family "Bacterial small subunit ribosomal RNA", at positions 524 to 776 of the family's 1533-position model. The record is from RNAcentral.